This 1107-nucleotide long non-coding RNA is filed under the name Homo sapiens (human). Its description in RNAcentral is "HSALNT0405567". Lineage: Eukaryota; Metazoa; Chordata; Mammalia; Primates; Hominidae. The record is from RNAcentral.
GCCGCCGCUGCCAACCCGGAAGGAGCCCGGAGGGGCCCGGGCGGCCAGGGCGCCCCCGCCAGGAGGCCCGCCAGGUGUCCACCUGAGCCCCACGCCCUGCGCCGCGGGGCCCUUUUGGGGGCGGGGUGCCAGCUCCGAGGUGUCCUCCCACGGGCUGUAGACUGGGAAACUGAGGCCCGGGCCACGGUCCCAGACGCAGCCGGGACCCGAACCCACCUCACCUGAGCGAAUGAUAUCCGGGACUCAUCCUUUUUCGACACCUUUGCGGGAUCCAGCCCUCCAAGGAAAGCUUCCUGAGCAGUGCGCGCCACGUGUAUUGGGCACCUCACCGCGGCCACUUCACAUCCUAUCUCAGGUGGAGAAACUAAGCCACAGAAAGGAGCUGUCAUUUACCUAAAGCACCGUGGCAGGGGUUUGGCAGAGCCAGGAUUUGUACCCAGAUCGCCUGACUUCGGAGAGUAACAGCUCUUAACCACAGCACUUCGGUCUAUGCCUUGAUUUCACCAUAUGUAACAAGCAGCUGUGCCACUUUGCAUUCCCACCAGCAGCACGCAAGCGUUCGAAUUUCUCCGCACGCUCCCCAACAGGACAAGAGCUUGCCGUGUUGCCCCAGGCUGGUCUCAAACUCCUAGCCUCAAGCAAACUUCCUGUCUCGGCCUUUCAAAACCCUGAGAUUACAAGCAUAAGAAAAGAAAAUCUUGUAAGAUGAAAGCUGAAGGAUGAGAGCAAUUAAUUGAUGAAGUAUGAUGAUCCAGGUGUCCCUGGGUGAAGAAACAACCUCUACAAAGGCCCUGAGGUAGGAAUAUGCCAUUAUAGGACCUAGGAGCUGUUCUCAGGGAGCUGACGGUGAUUGAGGCUCAUGGAACAAGAAAAGAAAAAUCAUCAUCACCAUUGUCACUAUCACUACCAUAGUCAGAUGAAGAGAUGGGGUCUCCCUAUGCUUCCCAGGCUGGUCUCGAACUCCUGGACUCAAGCAAUCCUCCUGUCUUGACCUCCCAAAGUGCUGGGAUUACAGGCGUGAGCCGCCUCACCUGGCCUAUAGAAUUUUAUACAAAUGAAAUCAUACUGGUCUCGCUCAUCACCAGGCUGGAGUACAGUGACAUGAUC